This 76-nucleotide transfer RNA is filed under the name Clostridium sp. RNAcentral's name for it is "tRNA-Phe". It matches the Rfam family "tRNA". From Rfam's summary of the family: Transfer RNA (tRNA) molecules are approximately 80 nucleotides in length. Their secondary structure includes four short double-helical elements and three loops (D, anti-codon, and T loops). Lineage: Bacteria; Bacillati; Bacillota; Clostridia; Eubacteriales; Clostridiaceae. The record is from RNAcentral. RNAcentral also lists the same sequence under 9 other names.
GGCUUCAUAGCUCAGUUGGCAGAGCACAAGACUGAAAAUCUUGGUGUCGUUGGUUCGAUUCCAACUGAAGCCACCA